AUGGACUUCAGUAAAGGCAGAGAAUUAUCUGGAUCAGUUACUGAUGUCAACAUCGUUUGCAGCCUUGAUGUCUGCGAGGACCUUGACAAGCCAGUGCCCGGGGGGAUAUCUGAAGUGUCGAAUAAAUGUGUUGAUCUGAACUGCUCUAGGAAAAAACUUAGCAAGGACAAGAUGGUCUUGGACUGCGAGUCCCUGGGGACAAGUGACGCAGCUAGUGCGAAUUCCCGGUGCACACAACCCUUGAGCCAUUCAUCUGAGUUUCCAUGUCCUUCUCGGAUACUAAGAAACUGUUUGGUGUUUGCUGAACAUAGUGGGGCCAAGGCUUUGCGUGCCCAGCUAGCAAAAUCAAGCAUCAGGCCGAGCCACUUGACUAUGGAAGAGUUAUAUGUGGUGAAAAUUGGUGCAGUCAUCAAGCUAUCUUCCCAAAAGUCUUUUGACCCCAUUUGCUUUAUUGGGGGUCACAUGUCCCAGAUCAAUCACAGGUGGCUGUGGUCUGUGGAGGAGCUUCCUGCGGUUUCUCUUGCUCACGUUUACAAUUGCAAAGUUGGCAUGAUGCGAGAGAAGCAACAUAGAGCUGGAAAAUCUGGCGUUGUUGCUUUAUUAUUCAGUAACUCUCGGCUGUCGGUGCAAGUUUCUGAAUGUGAGCGGCAGGCGUGUAUGUCUAGACAGGCCAGGCCUGUCUGUCAGGGAGGCUGGGCCGAUGCUGGAUGCACAACCUGGAGUGCAUUCUGCUGCUGUCACUGCAGCAUACAAUUCAGGCGAGUUUGUUCGGACAUGAGCUUACCAUUCUGGGUUCAUCUGUGGCUUCAACUUUGCAGAUGCUGUAAAUGUCGCUACCCUGGACUGGCUGCCCAUGGACAAUGUGCUGUUGAGCUUACAGAGAUCAGCCGUCCAAGACAUCAAUAUCACAUGACAAGUUAUUGCUCACAACUGCAGAAGCAGCUCUCAGACAUGGACGAACCUUCACAACUGCAAGAGUGCAGAAGAAGAUGGACUUCAUUCAGUAGAAGCACAGAAUUAUCUGGAUCAGUUAUCGAUGCCGACAUCGAUUGCGGCUUUGAUGCCUGGCAGGAGCCCAGGACCUUGACAAGCCAGCGCCCAGCGGGAUAUCCGAAGUGCAGAAUAUGUGUUGAUCUGAAAGGUCUAUCAACUAGUCCUAGAACAGAAGAAGAGCCAAAACUGGUGCAGGCAGCCAUCAAGCCAUUCUCCCCAAAGGAUUUAGGAGUCGAGAGACAUUUCGCGGCGCACCAGACCCAAGAAUAUGCUGCUGCGUUUCAGAAGCUGUUGUUGCUGGGCUUAUCAGACCGAUGUUUAGGGACGGGCCAGGCCUGUCAGUCCUCAGGGGGAGGAAAGAUGAGCUGGGCCGGGCCGGUACUGGACGCGCGAAUUGAACCACAGCAUGCUGCUGCGGGGGGGCCGCGCCGGCCACGCCCAAGAUCUAUCUAUACCCAUAGGCGACCGGCGACGAGAGAGCUGUCAGCUGCCCCUGCAAAGGAACCAACGAACAAACCAGACGAGCUCAGCCCAGCCUGCCUACCUGCUACUGCUAAACCAUCUUCGUUUCCAAGUGCCAAACACGUGGUGGACUGCGCUUUCGCCGUCCAAAUCUCGCUCGCCGGACACCCGCCAUUUUCCCUCUCUUUCAUUCACUGA
RNAcentral lists this ribosomal RNA (1653 nucleotides) under Triticum aestivum (bread wheat). RNAcentral describes it as "partial small subunit ribosomal RNA". Lineage: Eukaryota; Viridiplantae; Streptophyta; Magnoliopsida; Poales; Poaceae. The record is from RNAcentral.